UCUUAUUAAUUAUGUAAGUCAUCUAAACGUUGGUAAAUGAAUAAUAUUUAAUAGCACGACAAAAUAAUAAAUUAUCUCUUCAUUUUUUGAAUUGUAUCAAUAAAGAUAAACAAAUAUUUUUAAUAUACUAGACAACUAAAGAUGCAUUGAGGGAAUUAAGUUUUUUGAUCUAAGAGGGGAGAGGCAUAAACUAUUGCCUUUUUUCCCAACUCUCAAGAAAUAUUCAAAACUAGAUGGCCCGUACUUGUGCUGAGCACGAGAUUAUGAUCAAUAUAAUUGUUUGUUCACUUUGCUGAUACACUACCAAAGAACGUCGCAAGCAGUUGAUUUAAGAGAUUACGUCGGUCUGUAAAUUCUUCAAUCCGAACUCCGAGCUUAAUUUGAAAAAACUACUUAACUUUUCUCCAUAAAGAAACCCAUUGCAUUGAUCGCAAGGUUAGUCUACCAGUAAUGAACCUAUUAGAAUGUAAUAUAUAGAUUCACACACAAGAAAUUUACCAAUUAAAAAAGUAUUCACUAGCUAAUGGCACCAAGUGGACCCAUCUUAAACUCGUUCAAGCAUAAGUUUAAGUAUUCUGUAUCCUUUCUUGUACGGCAACAUGACAUUUUCUCCCGAACUUAUCGAAAGAAAAAUUGUCUGUCAAGAAAGUAAAAUCCAAAUAUGUCAUAUAUGUGCUGUACAAUAUAUGUGCAAAGUAAAAGUGUAGAUCCUGGUUUAGAUGGACAGGUGGGCCUUAAAGAAGAGCUCGGAGAUUUGUUGCUUGCUUACCACGUUUAUCAUAGUAGCAGUCGGUAAUGUCUUUUUCACGAGAACACAUCUGAAGAAACAUAAAGAUUCACUUUUAAUUGAAACCUCCACAAUCAUUUUAGUUCACAUCUUUCUAACUCAUUUCUAG
RNAcentral lists this long non-coding RNA (896 nucleotides) under Capsicum annuum. RNAcentral's name for it is "long non-coding RNA (CANN_LNC002994)". The record is from RNAcentral. Lineage: Eukaryota; Viridiplantae; Streptophyta; Magnoliopsida; Solanales; Solanaceae.